UACGGAAGGCAGCAGUGGGGAAUAUUGCACAAUGGGCGCAAGCCUGAUGCAGCCAUGCCGCGUGUAUGAAGAAGGCCUUCGGGUUGUAAAGUACUUUCAGUCGUGAGGAAGGUGUUAAGGUUAAUAACCUUAGCAAUUGACGUUAGCGACAGAAGAAGCACCGGCUAACUCCGUGCCAGCAGCCGCGGUAAUACGGAGGGUGCGAGCGUUAAUCGGAAUUACUGGGCGUAAAGGGCACGCAGGCGGUUAAUUAAGUUGGAUGUGAAAUCCCCGGGCUUAACCUGGGAAUGGCAUUCAAGCUGGUUAGCUAGAGUCUUGUAGAGGGGGUAGAAUUCCAUGUGUAGCGGUGAAAUGCGUAGAGAUGUGGAGGAAUACCGGUGGCGAAGGCGGCCCCUGGGACAAAGGACUGACGCUCAUGUGCGAAAGCGUGGGGAGCAAACAGGGAUUAGAUACC
RNAcentral lists this ribosomal RNA (454 nucleotides) under uncultured bacterium. RNAcentral's name for it is "bacterial SSU rRNA". It matches the Rfam family "Bacterial small subunit ribosomal RNA", at positions 340 to 786 of the family's 1533-position model. The record is from RNAcentral.